RNAcentral lists this ribosomal RNA (501 nucleotides) under uncultured bacterium. RNAcentral describes it as "partial 16S ribosomal RNA". It matches the Rfam family "Bacterial small subunit ribosomal RNA", at positions 30 to 523 of the family's 1533-position model. The record is from RNAcentral.
AUUGAACGCUGGCGGCAGGCUUAACACAUGCAAGUCGAGCGGAGAUGAGGUGCUUGCACCUUAUCUUAGCGGCGGACGGGUGAGUAAUGCAUAGGAAUCUGCCUAUUAGUGGGGGACAACAUUCCGAAAGGAAUGCUAAUACCGCAUAUGUCCUACGGGAGAAAGCAGCGGAUCUUCGGACCUUGCACUAAUAGAUGAGCCAAAGGCGGAUUAGCUAGUUGGUGGGGUAAAGGCCUACCAAGGCGACGAUCUGGAGCGGGUCUGAGAGGAUGAUCCGCCACACUGGGACUGAGACACGGCACAGACUCCUACGGGAGGCAGCAGUGGGGAAUAUUGGACAAUGGGGGGAACCCUGAUCCAGCCAUGCCGCGUGUGUGAAGAAGGCCUUAUGGUUGUAAAGCACUUUAAGCGAGGAGGAGGCUACUGAGACUAAUACUCUUGGAUAGUGGACGUUACUCGCAGAAUAAGCACCGGCUAACUCUGUGCCAGCCGCCGCCGUAA